CCACCUGAAAUGAACAUCAUAGUUGCGUUUGUGGUUCAUAUGAAUCCUGCCCUGUAAGUAUCAUAUCAUGGCAACCUUAACUUGACAACAUAUUCCUACGAUCAGUUUCCAAAUGGAAGCGUUUUACACAACUCUCUCCUCCCCUGCGUCCACGUCUGUUCUCAAUUUUCAGGGCUCUGAAUUGCCUAGAAGAAAUCUUUGUAAGAAAUCUUCACACACUAUUUUUGCAUCACCUACGCUGCCUAAACCGUUUCUUCAGAUUUGUGGUAGACCUCAGACAUUGAUUUAUACGUCAACCCGACUCUCUUCUGGAGCACAUAAAGCAACGAUAUCUGCUGAAGCUGGAAGACAAAAUUGGGAUUUUGGAAGAUUUGUUAAAACACUGUUCUUCUUCAAUGGGUUCCCAUCUCCUGCUAAGUUCUUUGAUUUUCUAGCUGAGAAAAUAUCUGAUCCUUCCCCUAGUGAAGUCAUUAACACAAUGGGAACUUCUGAUAUUGUCCUGGUAGCUGGAGCAACUGGUGGUGUUGGUCGAAGGGUGGUUGACAUAUUACGCAAGAAAGGAAUUCCAGUCCGAGUAUUGGUUAGAAAUGAAGAGAAAGCAAGGAAGAUGUUAGGCUCAGAUGUUGAUUUGGUCAUUGGAGACAUUACAAAAGAUAGCACUUUGAUCCCUGAAUACUUUAAAGGCGUGAAGAAAGUGAUUAAUGCUGCUUCUGUCAUUGUUGGUCCUAAGGAAGGAGACACUCCAGACAGAUCAAAAUACAGCCAAGGAAUUAAGUUCUUUGAGCCAGAGAUAAAAGGUGACUCACCAGAAAAGGUAGAGUACAUAGGAAUGUGAAAUUUGAUCAAGGCUGUGAAGGACAAUCUUGGACUUCGAAGAGGAAAGCUAUUAUUUGGAUUUGAAGGCAUUAAUUACAGGCAGCUUCCUUGGGGUGCUUUAGAUGACGUGGUAAUGGGUGGAGUUAGUGAAAGCACAUUUCAAAUUGACCCAAGUGGGGGUGAAAAUGGUGGACCAACUGGGGUUUUUAAAGGUGUUGUUUCAACAGCAAACAAUGGUGGCUUUACAAGUAUCAGAACUAAGAAUUUCUCAGAGCCUGAAAAUCUUUCUGCAUAUGAUGGUUUGGAGUUCCGCCUAAAAGGUGAUGGGCGUAGAUAUAAAAUCAUUGUUCGCAAAAGCAGUGAUUGGGACACUCUUGGUUACACUGCAGGCUUUGACACUGAGAAAGGAAAAUGGCAAUCAAUUCAAGUGCCAUUUUCUUCCCUGAGUCCUGUAUUUCGAGCAAGAACAGUGUCCAAUGCUCCACCAUUUGAUCCAAGCAUUGUUGUAUCAUUACAGCUCAUGUUCAGCAAGUUUGAGUCUGAUGGUAAAUUAAAUGAAACUUUUGUGGAAGGUCCAUUUGAGCUUCCGGUGUCUAGCAUACGGGCAUAUAUAAAGGAUCCAAUAACACCCAGGUUUGUGCAUGUGAGCUCAGCAGGAGUUACAAGACCCGAAAGGCCUGGAAUCGAUCUAAGUAAACAGCCUCCCGCCGUUCGAUUAAACAAGGAACUGGAUUAUAUCCUCACAUUUAAACUAAAGGGCGAGGAUUUACUUAGAGAAAGUGGCAUUCCCUAUGCAAUCGUGAGGCCUUGUGCAUUAACUGAGGAGCCUGCUGGUGCCAAUCUUAUUUUUGAUCAAGGAGAUAAUAUUACGGGUAAAAUAUCAAGGGAAGAGAUUGCUCUUAUGUGUGUAGCUGCGCUUGAUAGCCCUUACGCAUGUGACAAAACAUUUGAGGUCAAAAGUGUCAUUCCAUUUAGCGAGCCAUUUACUGUGGAUCCAACAAACCCUCCUCCAGAAAAGGACUAUGACGUAUAUUUUAAAAAUUUAAAAGAAGGCAUUACUGGGAAGGAAGCUCUCCAACAAAAUCCUGUUUCUGUUUAGUUCAGCUAUGAAUGUUGCAGAUGCGAGUACUUUGAGAGCUGUGCAGUCUUUGAUCUAAAGAGAUCUAAACUUGACAAAUCUGUGAUACUAAGUUUUAUGAUAAAAUAGGUUAUGUCCUAACAGUAUAAAACAGUUUUAAACCAAGUUAAAUAUGAUCUUUACCUUACAAUAUGCACGUAUAUUCUGUCUUCAAACAAUCAAACAUGAGUCCUUUUCCUCAUAUGUUACAGGCUUCUAGCAAAUAGGAAAGCAAAGAAUUUUUAUAUUCUUGUAAGAAGAUAGAACUAUCGUUUCCUUUUUCUUGCAACAGUUUAGGUUUGCAUCUCUGCUAGACGAGAGGAAUGAGAAUUACAAGAAGACAUGCGUGGAGUUA
Molecule: RNA transcript, 2288 nt
Organism: Glycine soja
Lineage: Eukaryota; Viridiplantae; Streptophyta; Magnoliopsida; Fabales; Fabaceae
Exons: 16
Source: RefSeq, a predicted model, not a curated record